RNAcentral lists this signal recognition particle RNA (288 nucleotides) under Aotus nancymaae (Ma's night monkey). Its description in RNAcentral is "Metazoan signal recognition particle RNA (ENSANAG00000007980.1)". It matches the Rfam family "Metazoan signal recognition particle RNA". Rfam says of the family: The signal recognition particle (SRP) is a universally conserved ribonucleoprotein. It is involved in the co-translational targeting of proteins to membranes. The eukaryotic SRP consists of a 300-nucleotide 7S RNA and six proteins: SRPs 72, 68, 54, 19, 14, and 9. The record is from RNAcentral. Lineage: Eukaryota; Metazoa; Chordata; Mammalia; Primates; Aotidae.
ACCAGGCAUAGUGGCAUGCACCUAUAGUCUCAGCUACUCAGGAAGCUGAGGCAGGAAGAUCUCUUGAGUCCAGGAGUUCUAAGCUGUGUCUACUGUGUUGAUCAGGUAUCUGCAACACAUCUAUCAUCAAUAUGGUGUCUGCUCAGGAGCAGGAAACCACCAAGUUACCUAAGGAGGGCUGAACUGGCUCAGGUCAGAAACAGCAGGUCAAAACUGAUCAGUGGUGGGAGCGAGCUUGUGAAUAGCCAGUACACUCUAGCCUGGGCAACAUAGCAAGACCCCAUCUGU